GUCCUCAAAAAUAAGAGUCUUAAAUAGUGACCUCAUCUUAGUUCAUAUAAUGUAAUCGCAGAUCAAAUAACCAUGAUUCAUAAACCAACACAAAGGGACCCUUUGCUUCCCGACAGCCUCUGAGAAUGAGUGAACACGACUGAAAGCCUCAUUACGGAGCCUUUCUCCAUUUUUACCUUUCUGAGUCCCGGAUAUUAAUAUCCUUGGAAACAGUUUCUGACGGGGCCUUUGCUUCUCCUUUGCCUGAAAAUAGCCACACUUUCCCUCAAACACACACAUAAUGCUGCCUUCCUUACGGAGAGUUCUCCGAAAUAAACAGCAGGUACUUUCAGCCACGCGAUGAUCACGUGGAAAUGAAUUUUCUUCCCAUCUUCUUGCCCAGUGAACGAGUAGUGACCAGCACCUGCCGUGUGCCUGGACCUGAGCCUCGGGGAUCGCGUGGAGUGCAAGUCGGACACAUACAAGAAACUAACAUCUGUGCUCAAUGAACACCUUUCGUUUCCUUUCUUCCAGGGGUUUGGAAAUCUGCCCAUCUGCAUGGCAAAGACUCACCUUUCUCUGUCUCACCAACCUGACAAGAAAGGCGUACCCAGAGAUUUCAUUUUGCCCAUCAGUGAUGUCCGGGCCAGCAUAGGCGCUGGGUUCAUCUACCCUCUGGUCGGAACGGUGAGUAACAUUCUCCGGAAACCUUCCCCAGGCUGUGUUGUCUUGAUGCCUUAAAUCCUUCUGUUCUGCCAACGCUUUGCAAAUCGGGUGUUGGGAAUUAAUAGUAUUUGCUGUUUUUCUAGACAUUCUCUUCCACCAUAUAAAACACCUCUUCCGUCGUGGUUUGGGUUUUUCUUUCUUUUGUUUUUUAAAUCGUGUGUUCAGGAUCCCUUGAGUCAUAAAACUGAUUCCCUUCAUAGAACAUGGAAGGGAAUAACUUGGUGGAAUUCAGUCUGAUAUUUAAAUGGUAGAAUGGCUUAGUAUGGUGCCUCUGGACCUUUUUCACAUUAUCGUACUCAAAUGAUAAGAUUUUAUUCUAGUCAGAUAAUGGAGGAGACUGCUCAUGCCAGACAGGACCCGCCCAGCACCUCUAAAGGCUGGCAAAAAUCCAGUGUUUCAAUCCAACACAUGGCUCUGUUGUUAUUAUGUAAACAAGCAAUGAAUGGGCCAAAAGUGGAUUAAAAAGCACAGAAUUUUUCCCUUGACAUUCACAUGUUUCAUCUAAUAUUGGGCAAGAUGUUUUCAAUAAGCAUUUCUUGCAUUCUCAUUGCGUGUGAGGCAUGGCGAUACUCUGAGGAGCACAGGUUUGCAUAGCGCAGAGGCAUCUAGAAAGGGUGGCGUUGGCAUGCUGAAUGCCCUCAGCACAGGGGCGGCGACAGCCGCUUUGGCCCGAGGUGGAUGAGGGAACACGGUAUGUGGAAGAAGAGAGUCGAGAAUUCUUCGUAAGAGCUCUGAACUGGGGAAACAGUGAAUUUCAACUCACGGGCACAGAAAUACAUGACAGACCCAGCGUGGUCCAGCGUGGCUGGGGUUGGACAGGCCGGGGAGUCUGAGAAAUGGCUCAGGGAGAGCAAGACCGGGCCAAGCUGUUACGGAGCUCGACUGCCGUCGGUGGGAACUUGGGCUUUUCUCCUCGGCGCCCUGGGGAGUCACUACAGGGCGGUUUCUGAGUUUGUUUGUUCGUUUUAUUUUUGUAAGAGGAAAAAUGUGAUCUGAUUUUUAUUUUAGAAAAAUAGCCCCGGCAGCAGAAGGAGCAUGGUUAGAGGGCUGAGAGCCAGGGGUAAAUGGCACUGCAAUCGUUCAAACUAAUAUGGAGAGAAGAGGAGAAUGCAAGACGGAUUUUAAGGGUGGCCACCUACCUGUGGGGCCGGGGGAGGGGCACUUGCCGCCUGACUGUGGAUGGCGGUGCCGUGGUCACAGAAGGCACACGGGGAAGGCAGAUUGGCCGGGCCUAGAUGAGUGUGGCGUAGAUGUGAAGUGCGGGCGUUAACGGGACACGUAAAGUGGCCUGUGGAUCUGUUAGAAAUGCAGACAUAACACUCGGAGGAGCAGGAAGCAAGGCCUUGAGAGUUGUAAGAAUGUAGAUGAAGGCAGAGCUUGAACAAGGGGAGAAGCACGGAUAAGCACGAGAGACCUGAGAAGAAGGUAAAGGACGACACUCCAAGCACGUAUAGGGACACCUGGGUGGCUCAGUCGGUUGAGGAUCUGACUCUUGAUUUCGGUUGAGGUCGUGAUCUCGCGGUCGCGGGAUGGAACCCCGCUUGGGAUUCUCUCUCUCCCCCUCUGUCUGCUCCUCUCUCUCUCAAGAAUAAAUAAGUAAACAUAAAAAUUUUUUUUAAACGCCCACAUUUACAGAGCCGCCCCAGGAGUCUGGGGGGAGACCAGAGCAUCCCUAGAAGUCAGGGCGGUGGCGGGCUGGGGGAGGGGUAGCAAUGGCAUUGGUAUAGGGAGAAGGGUUCACAUCCUAUGGCUACUGGAUGACAUCUCCCGAGGGGAGGUGGGGCGGAGAAGGGGAGUGACUACAACAGGGGAGCCUUCCGGGGCGAUGGAAAUACUCUAUAUUUUGACUACUCUGAUUGUGGUGGUGGUUCCAUGACUAUAUUGGUUUGUCAGAACUCAUAGACCUAUAUACCACCUGAAAAGGAUGAAUUUUAUCGAGUAUAACUUACUUAUGCCUCAAUGGAGAUAUACGUAAGGAACAAAAAUGGAGAGUGAGAAGAGUUUGCUUUAUGCCCCUUAGAGUGGCCUCGUGACAGCAGCUCCUCAAGUGCUCAAAGUCUGCUGAACUUGGGUCAGUGAAGGCCUUUGCUCAGGAACAAGAGCACAGCCCGAGAGAGGAGGGGUGUGCCCGUGGGCCUCACCGAGGAGAAAGCCAUCCUCCCUCAGAAUCGGCCCUGUUUUGCCCUGUACAGAUUCAAAACCCCGCAGUAACUGGCCCAGCAGAUUCAUUCAUUCAUUCAUUCAUUCAUUCAACCAGUAUACAGAAGGCAUGGUGCUCAGUGCUCUGGGAAUCCCAAAAUAAAGCAGCUUUCCAUUUCAGACAGCUUACAGCUGGUAGGAAUAGACAGAAGUGAAUGACAAAGAAAAUGGUUUGGUAUAAAAAUUAGGAAUCAAUCAAGGGCACCUGGGUGGCUCAGUCCGUUAAGAGCGUCCGACUUCAGCUCAGGUCAUGAUCUCACUGUUCCCGAGUUCGAGCCCCGCGUAGGGCUUUGGGCUGACAGCUCAGAGCCUGGAGCCUGUUUCAGAUUCUGUAUCUCCCUGACUCUCUGUCCCUCUCCUACUCCCGCUCUGUCUCUCUCUGUCAAAAAUAAAUAAACAUUAAAAAAAAUUUUUUUUAAAUUACUUAAUAACCUUAAUAGGUCUGAGCAUUUAACAGUCAUCAGAAGUCAUAAUUUAAAAUCUUGUGAAGGGGCGCCUGGGUGGCGCAGUCGGUUAAGCGUCCGACUUCAGCCAGGUCACGAUCUCGCGGUCCGUGAGUUCGAGCCCCGCGUCAGGCUCUGGGCUGAUGGCUCGGAGCCUGGAGCCUGUUUCCGAUUCUGUGUCUCCCUCUCUCUCUGCCCCUCCCCCGUUCAUGCUCUGUCUCUCUCUGUCCCAAAAAUAAAUUAAAAAAAAGUUGAAAAAAUAAAAUCUUGUGGACAGUAAACAAAUACACGCUGUGGAUCUUCUCCCAUCCCAGCUAAUACCACCAGACCCACAUGUGAGACCAGUUCUGGGAAAUCAGAAUUCUGGAGCCGCCACUCAUGCGGGAACACUGACGAAUGACUAGUAGGAAAAUGAAUGUGAGGAAUGGCGUUUGGGGGGCGGCCGCAGGCCCGCAGUGUCCUGAAGAGAGCCCCGGGCUGCCCUGUGGUGCCCCCAACCGCAGGGCCAGGCCAGGAACCGUCAGUGAAACAGUCAAGUGUGAGGACGCAGGAAGGAAGCAGCGCCUGACUAAAGAAGUUCCUGGAGGUCAGGAAACGGUCACGUGUAGUUGGUGGCCUUAGCGUCCGCUUUCUAUGACAGCGGGAAGUUGCGCGUGUAUCAGGGCAAGCGCACCGUUGGAGGCCAGGAUCGCCUAAUAAGGGCUGGUAUUUACUUUUACUUGACCCCAUUCUGGGCCCUGCUACGGUCUUUUGAAAUGCUUCGAACAUUCAUCACCCGUGUGGGAGACACAGUGUAGUAAUUUCCUGCUGAGAUGACUGAGGGAAAGGGAAUGGGGACACCGGAGGGGCUGGUUCCUGCAGGUGGGAAAAUCCUAGCAUCCUGAGUCACUCUUACUCUUAAUCACGAAACAUGUGCUUAUUUGAGUUCUUCUUUUUUUUUUUUUUUAAUUAUUUUCAAUGUUGAUCUUUGAGAGAGGGACAGAGCACGAGUGGGGGAGGGACAGAGAGAGACAGAUAUACAGAAUCUGAAGCAGGCUCCAGGCUCCGGGCUGUCAGCACAGAGCCCAGUGUGGGGCUUGAACUCACAAACCAUGGGAUCAUGACCUGAGCCAAAGUGAGAUGCUUAACCGACUUGAGCCACCCAGGUGCCCCCUGAGUACUUUUGAAAUACAUAUCCAUCUAUCCACUCCAGAAAGAAAGGCCAAACUGAGACCUCAACAUCAGAAAGCUUCUCAGUUUUUUUGCAGUGUUCAUUCAUUCAUUCAUUCAUAAAACCACGUGGAGGCGAAUAAGAUCAAGUCCUUCCCUAAUGGGCCUUCUGCUAUACCGUAGUAAAAGAAAUCAUACAAGUACAGGAAGCUGUAGGCUUUAUGACAAAGGAGAAACAGCCCCCAGCUAUGUAGUAGGUUCCAAAGUGGCGAAUGUGAGUAUAGACAAGUCUGUCCUCAAACAAUAAACGUCUCCAGCCCUGAUGACCUUGAGAUCACGCGGUGACAUGUCUGGGGAAUUCAGUGUUCCCCCCUCCAGAUUUAGCUUUGUGGAUAUUGACUGUUUAACCCCCUGUCUUUACUUAUAGGCCAGAGGUUUUUUUUUUUACCACUUAAUUACUUCAUUUCAUCAUGUUCUAUUUAGUUAUGACACAAUACAAUAAUAAUUAGAAAUAUCAGUAACUGCUGUAGCCGCUUCGCUAGUGGCUUUCACUUCCCCGUCUGUUUGUAUAGAAGCACCCGAGGCAAGGAUUACUAGUUUAGGGACAUUCGGCUCAGCUACCACUCUUCCCUGCACUCUCGGUGUUUCUCAUCUUGCUGUAGCUACUUUUUCCUUCGCAAAAUCUCAGUCUCCUUUCCCACUAAACACCAUAUAUAUUCUUGCUUCUCCUUAAUGACAUAGUUAUAUGUUAUUUCAGACGUAUUCUUGAAAGCUACAAACGGUACGAGAUUCCUGACCAGAUUAUCACUACUUAGUGCAUCUCCUUCUAAGACAUUGUUUAGCAAAUACAGGUUCUUGAUGUGGGAAGAAAAGAGCAAAUUGUUUUCAAGAUUUUCCUACCCUGGAUUCCAUGGAUUACCCUGUUACAUUAUAUUUCCGAAAUUCUUUCAAAGCUUACGGUUUAUCGUGUUCAAUCAACCUAAUAGCUUAUUAAAUUUCUCCAAAACAAUCUUGUGCCAAAAGAAAUUCAGCAGGUGGUCUUUCUCUUCUGGUCACGUUGUUUUGAUAUUGCCUUUAGGUUUCCACAGUUGACAGGGGCUCUUUAAUCAUUUGGCAUAAAUUGCAUGACAUAAAAUUAUUAGCACGUAAGCAAAGUAUAUGCCAUGAUAUUACUGAGAAGUAAAUUAUACUCCACUUGGAAAAAAAACUAGGAAGACACCAAAAUGUUAACAUUGGGCUGCAGUAGUAGAAGCAGCUUUUUUUUCUGUACUUUUCUGCUUAUUUCAGUAUCUGCAUUGAGCAUGUGUCCCUUCUAUACCAUGAAAAUGCAAUGAAUAGGCAAGUGAUAAACUAAAAGUCCUUGGGAAAAAAUGUUUAACUAGGGCCGUUCAGUUGCCGGGGAGUCAGUAGUACUCUGUGCUUAGCAGGUGGCACCUGCCGGGUCGCGUCGUCUGCCCAUCCCAGCUGCCUCGCAGUGUUUUAACACCUGUAAAGGUGAGACCCUGAAGGCGGGACAGAAGGGCUAGGGUGUCGUCGUAAGAAAUGCACUCCUGAGUGUGGUGCGUCUGGUUCUGUCCAACGUUUGCCAGCCCCAGAUUCUGCUAAGGAAAUGCGAGAUCGAGUUGUCAAACAGUCGGCGUGGAGAAAUGUCCGGCUCUGUGAAUUCCACCCCAAGUCCGUUCAGUGUAUCCCACUCUUCUCCUUUGAUAUCGCACUGAGACUCCCAAAGAACGUAGAAGUCCUCCUGUGCUGAGGUCCCCCUGACAGGGAAGUCUUCUCUAUCGACCAACAUGGGACAUAAAAUUACGACAAGAUGACUCUUCGGGGCAAGAACGUGGGCUAGAAUUUUGGAGAUAAGCAGACUCACGGUUCACGCAGAAGGGAUUAAGACGUCAUAGGGCGUUGAUAUGCUGGUCACUGCCAGGGAGGGCGUUUCGGGAGGCAGAGUGGAUGCUUGGAACUGUACAGAAAAAAAGCUAAGUGCUUUCACCCCACAAACUGAUGAGAUAGGGGGGCUAGGAAAGGCAGCAAGUCAAAGCUCCCCUGUCCCUUCCUCCUCCCUUCACUUUGGUCCCUGGGCUCUUUCCAGAGCAGAGUAUUGAUCAUGGGCACUGUCUACGUGUUCGUGCGUUUUUUGCUCCUGUCGCGACUGGCCUGGCCUGGACCCAUCACAGUGUGCAAGUCUGUCCAAGAAAGAGGGACCAAAAGAUCAGCGCUAAAGCACGCAGUUUACUGAGCGAGCACAUGAACGUGCACUGGUGUGGCUUUCAUUUCCACUCUGACCUGACCCGACCCGGCCACAUCUGUGCCCAGGUGCGCCGCUGACCACAUCGCUUGGCUGGGCUGUGGAAAGCAGGAAACUGCCGCCGUGUAUUUGGGAAGUGAGUGAUGUCAUCCACAACUCAUGCUGGGUGGAGACUUACUGGCCUGGGGGGUGCAGGGGGUGGGAAAGUAGACUGUGGCCCCACCCAG
RNAcentral lists this long non-coding RNA (6968 nucleotides) under Lynx pardinus (Iberian lynx). The record is from RNAcentral. Lineage: Eukaryota; Metazoa; Chordata; Mammalia; Carnivora; Felidae.